UUACUCCUACGGGAGGCAGCAGGCGCGAAAAUUAUCCAAUCCUGACUCAGGGAGGUAGUGAAAGAAAUAAUGAACUAGGAUUUAUCCUGGGAUCACAAUGGGCUUGAUUUGCAAACUUUAUUUAGCGAGGAACAAUUGGAGGGCAAGUCUGGUGCCAGCAGCCGCGGUAAUAA
Molecule: ribosomal RNA, 173 nt
Filed under: uncultured eukaryote
Lineage: Eukaryota
Description: partial 18S ribosomal RNA
Rfam family: Eukaryotic small subunit ribosomal RNA
Source: RNAcentral